UGGUUCUGGCAUCGAUGAAGAACGCAGCGAAAUGCGAUAAGUAAUGUGAAUUGCAGAAUUCAGUGAAUCAUCGAAUCUUUGAACGCACAUUGCGCCCCGUGGUAUUCCGCGGGGCAUGCCUGUUCGAGCGUCAUUUAAACCCAUCCAGCUUGCUGGGUCUUGGGCCGUCGCCUUUGGGCGGGCUUUAAAACCAGUGGCGGCGCCAUCUGGCUCUACGCGUAGUAAUUCUUCUCGCUAUGGAGUUCUGGGUGGUGGCUGGCCAGGAACCCUUAUUCUUUCAGGUUGACCUCGGAUCAGGUAGGGAUACCCGCUGA
This 314-nucleotide unclassified non-coding RNA is filed under the name uncultured fungus. RNAcentral describes it as "partial contains 5.8S ribosomal RNA and internal transcribed spacer 2". The stretch from base 1 to 133 matches the Rfam family "5.8S ribosomal RNA", at positions 22 to 154 of the family's 154-position model. Lineage: Eukaryota; Fungi. The record is from RNAcentral.